Molecule: long non-coding RNA, 2457 nt
Filed under: Leptinotarsa decemlineata (Colorado potato beetle)
Lineage: Eukaryota; Metazoa; Arthropoda; Insecta; Coleoptera; Chrysomelidae
Description: uncharacterized LOC111517617
Source: RNAcentral
AGAGUUGCAGCAUCGUUUGUGAUUUUAUUACAUGCUGUAUAUUUUAUGUCAAUUUGAGUUUGUUAGUUACAAGUUUGUUUACAUAUAUGACAGGACAAUUGUUUUUGAGAUAGUAGAAAUAAAACUGUAAAAGUACAAAAAAAUAUCUCAGUUUUUCUAUAUAAUUCUCCACACUCAACAUAAAAUGGCGACUGUGACAGGACAAUACGUGGAGGAUCCAUCAAGGUUGAAGAAAAAACGAGGUAUCUUGAGGAAAAUGUUUAAAAAAUUAUAAUUAUAAUUUUAAUAAUCAACGAGUUGGAACUGGAACUGAAUGCUCAGCCGAUAGCAAAGCCUAGUAUACUGGCCCUCUUAACACAGAUUGAAGAUGAAGGUUCCAGAUUAUUCGUCAUUGAUGAGCAAAUCCAAAUGGUGACAACAGAUGAUGAAGAGUUCGAGAAAGAGUUUGAAGAGAAUGAAAAGUUUCGUGAGAAUUUGAUAAUGUAUAGGUCGAAGUGCGAGUUUGCCCUAGUAAAUAUACCGAAUCAAGAUAUAGGAAAUGCCAGUACAAUUGGAACAUCAAAUGUCAAGCGACAUCUCAAAUUGCCAAAAAUAGAGUUGAAGAAAUUUGAUAGGGACGUUCGAAAAUGGAUUGGCUUCUAGGGGAAAUUUCGAAAAAUCCAUGAAGACACUGAGCGUGAUAAUGAAGACAAAUUCCAAUAUUUAGUGCUUUCCAUGAAAGCCAGGUUUGCACAAGACGAAUUUCUUAUAUAGGUUUACGUCAGGGAACUGUUGAAUUUGGUAUUGAAACAGGCCACCAAUAAUAAAUCAGCCAAAUCUGCCCUUCCAGAAGAUGUUCUAAGAGCUUGGGAGAGACACAGGAGCAAUAUCAAAGCCAAUAAUUUGGGUUCUAGUACAGAUAAAUCUAUUAAUUAUUUAGAUACUUUAUUAAAUUUUCUCCGUUCCGAAGUGGAAAGUGAAGAACGCAUUAGUCUAGCCAGAACCAGUUUUGCUGUUGAAAAGGACACAAAGAAUUGGACGGAAAGUAAGUCAUGUACUGAUAAGCCAUGAACUGAGAAAAGUAAAUACACCGGAGGUGAGCCAAGUCUUUUCACAGCUGCUACAAAAUUUUUUCGACAGAAAAACAUGGUAAGAAAGCUACAAUUUGUUUAUUUUGUGAAGGUAAAUCUCAUUGAAGCCAAGAUUGCAUCAAAGCUAGGUCAUUUUCUGUUAAAGAAAGAAAAGAAAUUGUUUCAAAAAAGAAUGCUUGCUUUUGUUGUUUAAAACUCAACCACAGUGCAGAGCAUGCCAUUUUGAAUUAGUGCAGUCUCUUUCAAAUGAAGCUUUUCUACAGGCACUAAGACGAUUUAUUGCUAGGAGGGAGAGAGUAUCAGUGAUUUAUUCCGAUAACGGAACCAAUUACGUGGGAGCCAAUAACCAAAUGAAAAACUCAGAUUGGAAAGAAAUUUUGAAACACUCAUCAGUUCAACGAAUCACCUGGAAAUUCAACGUCAGUUCAGCACCCUGGUGGGGUGGAUGUGGGAGCGUAUCGUGAGAAUGACCAAGGAACUUUUGAGAAGAAAUCUAGGAAAGAAAACCGUCGAUUAUGAAGAACUUCUGACACUGCUUUGUGACUGCGAAUCGAUUAUAAAUUCAAGGCCACUCACAUAUGUUUCGGACAAUACAAAUGAACUGAUUCCCGUAACACCGUCAUCUUUUCUACAGAGCAUCCCAACCUCAGAAGUACCAGAUAUAGAUCAAAUUGGAAGAACAAGCAUCAAGAAGAGAUUCCGAUAUUCGCAGAAAAUUCGAGAAAAUCUUCGUGAGAGAUUCAGGAAUGUAUAUCUGGCAAAUUAUUAUAUUAUAUUACAAAGAAAAUGUAAUAAGUUGGUUGUAGGUGAUGUAGUUUUCAUUGGAUCUGACAAUACCAAGAGAAUUAGUUGACCGAAGGAAAGAAUAGAAAUUUACCCUGGAAAGGGCAAGAUUGCCAGAGUAGCUCGAAUCAAAUUAGCUACAGGUGAAUUAAUACGCCCGUUUCAACGAAUCUACCCACUAAAAAUUUCAAACUCUAAUGGAGAACCAGAAAUACUAGGCAAACUUGUAAAACGACCCAUUUCAAAUUCCAAAGUAACUCCGUAUGAAGACGAAACAACCAAAGAUCAUCCAAAUCAGGAAAGCAAACAAUCUUCAACUACAGGAGAAGAAAGGGUUCCAGAGAAAGCCGUCCCUGUGUGUACUAGGUCAGGACGAUUGGUCAAGGUUCCUGAUCGAUAUAUGAGUUAGCUGUUUUGCAAUUCAACAUUGAAAAAGGUGAAAUAAUGUUGGAGUUCGAGAGUUGCAGCAUCGUUUGUGAUUUUAUUACAUGCUGUAUAUUUCAUGUUAAUUUGAGUUUGUUAGUUACAAGUUUGUUUACAUAUAUGAUAGGACAAUUGUUUUUGAGAUAGUGAAAAUAAAAAACUGUAAAAGUCUAAAAAAAUA